Manis javanica (Malayan pangolin) is the source of this 1626-nucleotide long non-coding RNA. RefSeq lists it as uncharacterized. The record is from RefSeq and is a predicted model, not a curated record. Lineage: Eukaryota; Metazoa; Chordata; Mammalia; Pholidota; Manidae.
UGAUACUCUCACUCCGUCACUUCUUCAGGGCGGGCUUCAGGGUGGGCUGGUAGCGCAGUGUAUAUUCUCAUGAGGAUCCCUGAGUGGAUUCACUUGGGCUGGUCCCAGGACAAAGACCCCUAAGCAGCGUGGAGGACCUUCAGCUUACUCUCCGGUGCUCUUGGGGGGCGGUGCAAGGAGCUGCUCAGGGGAGACGCUGCAGGAAGCCAGUGAGGUCCAUGUGUCCUGGCCUCUCUGAGGGGACUUGAUGGGAGUUGCAGCGUGGCUCACACGGAGCAAGGAGGCCAGGCUGCAAUCCAUGUCUGGUCAGUUGUUACAGAGUUCAGAAGAAAAGGACUUAGACCUUUGAAGUGCCAGUAAUUUUUUGUGAUUUCUUUAUCCAUUCUAAAUACUUUAACACCUAAUUGUAUUUAUAAUUUUUAUCUUUUUUCUUUAAAAGGGUCCACCAGAUUGUAAAAGCUCCAGGUAUACAGAAAACCUGAUAAUCCUGAGAACCCCAUGCAUACCAGGAGUGUGUGCUGCUAGGUUUCUUCAUAUUGCCUCCUUGCAAGUCUGUGCCAGGCUUUGGGGAGGGUGUGGGAAAAGGGGAGUCCAGUGGGAGAGGCAUGGACACAGAGAACCUCGGUGGUUUGUGGUGGUUCUACCUCUGCUUGGUGGUCCCGUAGGAGUUCAGCAAUUGUAAGGUGACCAGAUAACUAUUUCUGCCUCUCCCCCUCCUUCCUCUGAUGUGGAUGGAGAAAGUUGGAGAAAAGCAGAAGAGAGGCCAAGUCCAUACCAGUAUCCUGGGUGGCAGGCAGCAGGGUCCCUAGUGAACUGGGAGGAAUGUAGGAGAAACAGGAACACAGAGGAUGCUACUAGGGGUCCAAAGAGCUCUUUGAAUCUUUGUUUCUGAAGGAUCUUGAAGCCCAAAGGAAGAACCUGAGGCUAGGUGAUCACAACAGUUUUUGCUGGGGAGGAUGGAUUAAACACUCCUGUGUGUACACCUCUUGAUUAUUAUGAGGGGCCAGUGCCAGAGGCCGGCUUGGGGGAACUUUUAUAGUCCUCUGUAACCUUCAUCAGCUUCACCUGAAUCAAACUGUCAACCCUGCCAUCCAGCUACCCAAGAGAAGCUGUAUUCGACACAGCAUCCAGAAUGAUCCCUACAGUGUGCCGGGUCGCGAUGCCUCCGAUCAAGAUCUGCCUGUGACUUUCUGUCUUAUUGGAAGCGAACAACCCAAGAUCACCAUUUCCUGUCCCUCCCUUCUUGUCUCUGACUCGAUGUCCUCAUAACCUCCUGAUCCACGUCAUGGGAGCCACACUGGCCCCAGCUCGGGGCAGCUGUCCUCCCCAGACAGCCACGUGGGACUUCCCUCUCCCCCUUCGGGUCCCUCCUCAGACGUCACCUUCUCAGGCGGCGGUUUCCUAACCACCUCAUGAAAACUGCAGGCUCCUCUCUGAGCUCUCUCUGUUCUCUGUCCCAGUUUCAUUUCUCUCCAUGGUACUUAUCACUAUCUGACACAUGAUUUUAUUUAUUGUCUGUCUCACCCUAUUGGAAUGUAAACUCCCUGAAGGCGGGAAUUUUUGUCUGUUCUGUUUUGUUCACUUCUGUAUCCCACCAGCUAGAAUAUUGCCUGGUACACAGUAUGU